GAUGAACGCUAGCGGCAGGCCUAACACAUGCAAGUCGAGGGAGAAGCCCUUCGGGGCAGAAACCGGCGCACGGGUGCGUAACGCGUAUGCAACCUACCUUUCACAGGGGGAUAGCCCGAAGAAAUUUGGAUUAAUACCCCAUAAUAUUAUUGGAUGGCAUCAUUUGAUAAUUAAAAUUACGAUGGUGAAAGAUGGGCAUGCGUCCUAUUAGCUAGUUGGAGUGGUAACGGCACCCCAAGGCUACGAUAGGUAGGGGUCCUGAGAGGGAGAUCCCCCACACUGGUACUGAGACAGGGACCAGACUCCUACGGGAGGCAGCAGUGAGGAAUAUUGGUCAAUGGUCGGAAGACUGAACCAGCCAUGCCGCGUGCAGGAAGAAUGCCUUAUGGGUUGUAAACUGCUUUUAUAUGGGAAGAAUAAGGAGCACGUGUGCUUGAUGGACGGUACCCAUAGA
This 454-nucleotide ribosomal RNA is filed under the name Capnocytophaga granulosa. RNAcentral describes it as "bacterial SSU rRNA". It matches the Rfam family "Bacterial small subunit ribosomal RNA", at positions 28 to 485 of the family's 1533-position model. Lineage: Bacteria; Pseudomonadati; Bacteroidota; Flavobacteriia; Flavobacteriales; Flavobacteriaceae. The record is from RNAcentral.